CGGCCAAUCAAGUUCGUCGGGAAAUCUGCCCGCUUAACGGGCAGGCGUCCGGCGAAAACUGAUUGGCUUGGGGCCGGGAGAUCCAAGGGGUACGUCCGGGGUAGGAGUGAAAUCCCGUAAUCCUGGACGGACCACCGAUGGCGAAAGCACCUUGGAAAAACGGACCCGACGGUGAGGGACGAAAGCUAGGGUCUCGAACCGGAUUAGAUACCCGGGUAGUCCUAGCCGUAAACGAUGCUCGCUAGGUGUGGCGCAGGCUACGAGCCUGCGCUGUGCCGUAGGGAAGCCGAGAAGCGAGCCGCCUGGGAA
This 309-nucleotide ribosomal RNA is filed under the name uncultured archaeon. Its description in RNAcentral is "bacterial SSU rRNA". It matches the Rfam family "Archaeal small subunit ribosomal RNA", at positions 526 to 834 of the family's 1478-position model. The record is from RNAcentral.